Molecule: non-coding RNA, 979 nt
Organism: Macaca mulatta (Rhesus monkey)
Lineage: Eukaryota; Metazoa; Chordata; Mammalia; Primates; Cercopithecidae
Source: RefSeq, a predicted model, not a curated record
ACUGUUGUUACCUCAGCCACUGGGUCUCAAGUGGCACUGAGCCACAGCAGGUGUUAUCUCAUCACCUUAGUCUGUUAUACAUAUGCUUAUCAUGGGGAGUAGGCACACCACAUGGCCACAGCAGAAGCAAGAGAGAAGUGGCGGAGAUGCUGCACACUUUUCAAUGACCAGAUCUUGCAAGAAGUCACUCACUAUCUUGAGGACAGCACCAAGGAGUAGUAUUCUGAGCAUUUCUCUAUUGGAGUGCAUAACAAUCUGAUGCAUCAGCAAGGGACGACAGAGCAUACAAGUGAUAUAGAAUCCAAGAGUCAUCAAUUUUAAUCAAAGGUCUUUGAGGGGCUCCAAGAAGUGCUCACGAGAAACAGUGGGUAUAUGGCUAGAGACUUGAUAAAGUAUCUGCCCUCCAUGGCACAAGUAUGAAGGGCCUACCUAGAUUGGAAAAGGGGCAGAAGAACCAGAAGAUUCCUAGAAGCAUUGUAGAUCCUAUAACUUUCAAGGUCAUCAAAAACAAGAAGUCUCUAGGAAACUCUCAUAACCUGGAGAAGCCUAAAGAGACAUAGCAAAUAAAUUGAAUGUGAUAUGUUACAUGGACUACUGGGACAGAAAAAGAACAUCAGUUCAAGAUUUGGAUCUUUUAAUAAAACACAUGAAAAAAAGUUAUAACCCACCUACUCGGAAGAAAGAAUAUAAGAAGCCACAUGGUAAAAUGCAUGAAGUUAACAGAUCUUAAAGCCAAUCAAAUAAGAAUAAAAAAUAAAAAAUCUAAAUCAGGCAAAUUUUUGGUUGGUAAGAAGCAAAAUACUUUCUCUACUGGAAAAUUUAGACUUUGAAUGUGUUGUCUAUAUAUUCAGUUUUGUGUUGACUUUAGCUAUUCCUAUUAUGCCCUGAUUUUGGUGUGUGAUCUAUAUUUGUUGCAAAAAUAAUUAUGAGGGAACUUCAAAUAAACAUUAAAUUUACAUCUGCUUGUCCUGAUAGAGGA